AGUGAACGCUGGCGGUAGGCCUAACACAUGCAAGUCGAACGGCAGCACAGUAAGAGCUUGCUCUUACGGGUGGCGAGUGGCGGACGGGUGAGGAAUACAUCGGAAUCUACUUUUUCGUGGGGGAUAACAUAGGGAAACUUACGCUAAUACCGCAUACGACCUACGGGUGAAAGCAGGGGAUCUUCGGACCUUGCGCGAUUGAAUGAGCCGAUGUCGGAUUAGCUAGUUGGCGGGGUAAAGGCCCACCAAGGCGACGAUCCGUAGCUGGUCUGAGAGGAUGAUCAGCCACACUGGAACUGAGACACGGUCCAGACUCCUACGGGAGGCAGCAGUAGGGAAUAUUGGACAAUGGGCGCAAGCCUGAUCCAGCCAUACCGCGUGGGUGAAGAAGGCCUUCGGGUUGUAAAGCCCUUUUGUUGGGAAAGAAAAGCAGCAGGUUAAUACCCCGCUGUUCUGACGGUACCCAAAGAAUAAGCACCGGCUAACUUCGUG
Molecule: ribosomal RNA, 492 nt
Filed under: uncultured bacterium
Lineage: Bacteria
Description: partial 16S ribosomal RNA
Rfam family: Bacterial small subunit ribosomal RNA
Source: RNAcentral